This 65-nucleotide transfer RNA is filed under the name Dipodomys ordii (Ord's kangaroo rat). It matches the Rfam family "tRNA". From Rfam's summary of the family: Transfer RNA (tRNA) molecules are approximately 80 nucleotides in length. Their secondary structure includes four short double-helical elements and three loops (D, anti-codon, and T loops). Lineage: Eukaryota; Metazoa; Chordata; Mammalia; Rodentia; Heteromyidae. The record is from Rfam by way of RNAcentral.
GGUGGCUCAGUGGUAGAGUGUUUGCCUUGUGCGCAGGAGGCCCUGGGUUCGAUUCCUCAGCACCA